UCUCCGUUGGUGAACCAGCGGAGGGAUCAUUACCGAGUUUACAACUCCCAAACCCCUAUGUGAACGUUACCAAACUGUUGCCUCGGCGGGAAACUCAUGCCCCGGGCGCGUCGCAGCCCCGGACCAAGGCGCCCGCCGGAGGACCAACCAAAGCUCUUUUGUAUGUCCCUCGCGGACCUUUAUAAUUCUGAACCAUCUCGGCGCCCCUAGCGGGCGUUUCGAAAAUGAAUCAAAACUUUCAACAACGGAUCUCUUGGUUCUG
This 262-nucleotide unclassified non-coding RNA is filed under the name plant metagenome. Its description in RNAcentral is "partial contains small subunit ribosomal RNA, internal transcribed spacer 1, and 5.8S ribosomal RNA". The record is from RNAcentral.